UUGUCAGAGGUGAAAUUCUUGGAUUUAUGAAAGAUUAACUUCUGCGAAAGCAUCUGCCAAGGAUGUUUUCAUUAAUCAAGAACGAAAGUUAGGGGAUCGAAGACGAUCAGAUACCGUCGUAGUCUUAACCAUAAACGAUGCCGACCAGCGAUUAGGAGACGUUGAAUACAAAACACCAC
This 179-nucleotide ribosomal RNA is filed under the name Acanthamoeba sp. RNAcentral describes it as "partial small subunit ribosomal RNA". It matches the Rfam family "Eukaryotic small subunit ribosomal RNA", at positions 902 to 1080 of the family's 1831-position model. Lineage: Eukaryota; Discosea; Longamoebia; Acanthamoebidae. The record is from RNAcentral.